Lonchura striata (white-rumped munia) is the source of this 576-nucleotide non-coding RNA. The record is from RefSeq and is a predicted model, not a curated record. NCBI's taxonomy places the organism in Eukaryota, Metazoa, Chordata, Aves, Passeriformes, Estrildidae.
AUCUUUUUAAAGUGUAGGGUUCUUUUAGUAUUCUGUAUUUUUUCUUAAAUCCCUGCAAAGGUGCUGCCUUUGGCCGAUGGGCUGCUAAAAGCCCUCACCUCCAGCCAGAAGAGCAGGUUUGAAAGAUUUGCUGAGAGCUGUGGAAUCAGAUAUGCCCAGAGAACCUGGGACUGGAUUUUCACCAUUAAAGCCAGUUUUCAGAUGUGACCAGUCUGAAUCCAGCAUGAAAAUUACUUCUGAGUUUCGAAGUCCUAAUGAAAGCUGGAAACCUGCCUAAAAGGGCUGCUGUGUGGGGUGCUCCCUGGCUGCCCUUUCCCAGCCACCAGCAGAAUUUCCAGCGUGGAGGGGGAUCUAUAAAACAUGACUCGUAAAGAGAAAGAGCUGGCAUUUGACUCCUGAAGGGAAAGAGAUGGUGGAGAGCUGCGAAGAAGAUGGAUGCCCCCCUCCCCGAAAUAUAAAGAAAUAUGUGCAGAAAAUGGAAGAGAUUUAAAGCAGCUAUCAAUCGGUCGCUGUUCCAGCUUUAAGAGCUGUUGAAACAACAUAAUAAAAGGCAAUAAACAAGAGAUUUACAACCUA